ACAGACUUGACAACAGAAUCCCCAUUGGAAAGGACAAGCUUGAAUGAGUGAAAGAGGGUAUGGUGGUGGCAGAUAUUCAUUUCAGGUGUCCUCAUUUGACUUCUCAUAGCCAAAUUCGAUCAGCUGUACAGAGUGGAUGUCUUCGUAUUCAUUUUAUUAGGAGCAAGGAUGUGGGAGGAAAGUGCUACAUCCAGACCCAAUCUACAACACCCCACCGAAGGAGGGCGACUGGGUGUGUCACCCAUGCUGUGGAAUGGUUUGCGCGAUGCGGAGU
Molecule: non-coding RNA, 274 nt
Organism: Pogona vitticeps (central bearded dragon)
Lineage: Eukaryota; Metazoa; Chordata; Lepidosauria; Squamata; Agamidae
Source: RefSeq, a predicted model, not a curated record